Molecule: unclassified non-coding RNA, 421 nt
Filed under: Hevea brasiliensis (rubber tree)
Lineage: Eukaryota; Viridiplantae; Streptophyta; Magnoliopsida; Malpighiales; Euphorbiaceae
Source: RNAcentral
AACUUUUUUUUUUUUCUGAUUCCAGUACAGUUCUUUGCUUCAGUUCAGAACUCCCAAGAUGCGUGCACUACCCUAGUGUGAAGCCUAGGGAAGUUCGGGUGCGAAGCCUAAAACCUCAUUUUACUUUUUACAUGUUACUGUUCACAAAGACUAGUUUGAAUACUAACAGCCCACAGAUCUUUUCUUGUUUAAUUUCACCUCUCAAUCCCACCCUUUUACAAACCUUAAAUCCAGCCCUAAUAUUUCUACUCAAUCCAGCUUUUGAAUGACCUAAAAUCCAGCCCCAAUAUUCAGUUCUGCAAGCUGGUGUACCUCAUUUAUAGAUUCCAACAGGAUUAAGUAUAAAAGGAGUGUGUAUGCCAAUAUUAUACAAGUAUAACAUAUAUAAGAACAACAGUAUAAGAUGCAGGUUAGACAAGGA